This 809-nucleotide long non-coding RNA is filed under the name Triticum aestivum (bread wheat). RNAcentral's name for it is "long non-coding RNA (TAES_LNC025952)". The record is from RNAcentral. Lineage: Eukaryota; Viridiplantae; Streptophyta; Magnoliopsida; Poales; Poaceae.
CCUGUCCUGAAUAAUUUUGGGAGCAACUGGGUGAUGAUUACAAGCCAGUUAACUGAAUGAGUCCUUCAGCCGCUGGCUAGCUAGCUAUUCUUAUCUUACCAUUAUAUGUCUUCCUCAGUAUUGUUUUGUGAAUUAUUUCUUUUUUUGAACUAUGCAGGAGGACUGCAUGUGAUGAGUUAAGAAGAUCUGCGACCAUUUUAGCUCCAGCAGUUAGUACACAACCAAUCAACAGUGCAUUUUCACGACCCAGGCUUCUGAAUUCUGACUGACAGGCUCGCAGGCACAGCCACAUAUAAUCUCACGCAUUCAAAAUGCUAGCUACAUGAAAUACGCCCAGAUUUACGAGUAGAAAUCCAAGGUAACACUUAUCGCUUAAAAGUAUUUACUUCAUUUUUUAUCUUCAUGUAAAAAGAGAAUGCAAGCUGAAAUAUAAAGUCUGCAGAUUCCUCCUCUAUGUUCAAUUUUCCUAAUAGGAAGAACCAUACCAACAACCCUUGAACUAGAUUGGUCGAAGCAGCAUACAUACAUAUUCAUGUUUUACAUUUUAAAUUUGAAGACCAAGGCAACUCCCGUCGAUUUAAUUGGAGGUGAAUGUCUGUUUUUUGUUUGUAUUUAAUCUUAGAAAACAAAAUCUCAUCAAGUGAAAAUCCACAGGCAUUGCAGUCCAAUUGUUCUAAGGAUUGGAACCAAAAAUCCACAGGCAUUGCAGUCCAAUUGUUCUAAGGAUUGGAACCAGACGUGUGACUCAAUACUGCUUGGAACAUGUGAGCAAAGUUUACGUACAUGCACCUUCUUGGAUGAUACAACUU